CAAAUCACACAAGUACUUUGUCAGUGGUAGAAUUUGAACCCAAGUCCUCUACAUUCAAGUUCAGUGCCUUUUUCAUUGUAUCAAGUAGCCUCUGGAUGUCCUGAGAAAGACUUGUUCUGUAGGUCUACAGGAUCUGGAACUGGGAUCAGGGGCAGCUACCAGUAGGAAAAUUUCAAUGCAAUUAUCAAGUAGAAGUUUCUAAUAAUUACAGCUACAUAACAGUGGAGGCAGCUAGAUGAUCAAUGGAGUUCAAAUCUGGCCUAAGACACUAGCUGUGUGACCUUGAGAAAGUCACUUAACCUCUGUUUGCAUUAGGGGGAAGCUAGUGGAUAAAGCACUGAGCCUAGAGUUAGGAAAACCUGAAUUCAAAUCUCACCUCAAGUACUUACUAGCUAUGUGAUCCUAGGUUAGUCACUUAAACUUUGUUUGCCUUAAUCUACUAGAGAAGGAAAUGGCAAACCACUCCAGUAUCCUUGUCAAGACAUGGACAGCAUGGUCCAUGGGGUCACGAAUGGUCCAACAUAACUGAAUGACUAAACAAUAGUCAUUCCACAACAACAGUCAACAACAAACAAUGGAAUUGGGUUGCUUUGGCACAUAGUGAGUUCCCUAUGACUGGAAGUGUUGAAGCAGAGACUAAAUCAAUGCUUUCCAGAGGAGUCAUUCCUUAUGGAAGAGUUAAAAGUCUCUUCUAACACUGGAAUUUGAUGAUUCUAUGAAAAAGAACUUGAAAGAGAAAGAGCUCGCCCUAAGUUAUUUAGCUAUAAUUCUCACCCAAGGCUCCUGUAUCCCAAGCCAGGGCCAUUUACACUGACAAUCCAUGACCCAAGUGAAGACAAAGAGGAAGACCAGCUGAUACCUACCUAUCCAUGACUCCAUCAUGUACCAUCAUUGCAGCAAGUCAGGAAAUCCAUCUGGGCUGUUCCCAGAAAUUGACAGCUAUGGCAGCUCUAUAAUCUGGCAGCCUCUCCUGAAAAAAAAAAAGGCAAUACCCUCUUGAAAGGCUCAGAGGAAUAGUGACUUAUCUAAGGUCACACUUGGGUAAGUGGCAGAGCUCAGUCCCCAGAAACCAAGCCUAAAUAGCUUUUCCCUAUUGUGUGGUCUUAGCUUCACCCAGGACAGCCCUUGACCAGAAGAGCUACUUUUUUUUUAAGUCAUAUCUCCAUAAUACAGAUCAAUCUGUGUCUGAAGAAAACAUCCCCCAAGGGAUCAACUCAUGUCCCUGUCACUGAGCUAGUGUUUUGCACACUGUCCAUUUUUCAAUGCUUUCUGAAUUGAACCCUUAUUUUGAUACUCUUUCCUUCGAAUGUGAAUUAAGGUGAGCAACUUCACCUUUAUAAACUGAGCUCAGUUUCUUCAGCUACAACAUGGGGGUGGAUAAGAUCCAUCCUGCCUCCCCAAAGGCUACUUUGAGGAAAGCCUUUCCAUAAACCUUAAAGUUGUCUUUUCAUUAUUAUUACUCAUUUAGCAAAUAGAAUCCAAAUCUCAGUCAGAAAAAUCCCCAGAGGUUGUCUUAUUCCACCUGGAUUCAAUCAAAAAUCUCCACUAUAUAACAUCCUCAAGAAGGCAUCAUCCAUCAUCUAUUUGAAUAUUAUCUAGUGCCGGGGCCUCACUACCUGCUGAGGGAAUAAGGAAGUCCACUCCGCAUUUAAACAUCUUGUAGGUUAGCCACCAUUCAC
Molecule: long non-coding RNA, 1679 nt
Organism: Monodelphis domestica (gray short-tailed opossum)
Lineage: Eukaryota; Metazoa; Chordata; Mammalia; Didelphimorphia; Didelphidae
Source: Ensembl